AUCUUAAUUAUCUCAUCUAACCAAGGCUAGGUUAUUUUGAGUAAAACUCAAGUUGUUGCUUUUUUAAUGCAGGUAGUUUUGAUUAUUGAUGUUUGAGGUAAAGAGUAUAUUAUAUUGCAUGGUUCCGUUUCCAUGGUGAUCCAGACUGUAAACAAACAACACUUCAGUAGCCGUACUUUUAACUUGUGUAAAUAAAUACUUAAGUAACAUUUUUGCUUUUAUUAAAAUACUUACAAAAUAAUAAUAAGUGCUCAGUGAUAGCUAGAAUAACAUGAAUCAUGGAAAAAGAAUUAGAUUUAAGCAUUAUAAAAGCUACUCAAUUGUCUCUUGGGAAAUACGUAAAACGUCCUCCACUAUCCGAUAAACUAUUAAAAAAACCACCAUUUCGUUUCUUACACGAUAUUGUAACUUCAGUAUUAAAAUCAACAGGAUUUUUUGAAGGUUUAUUUGAAGACCAUGAACUUAAAUCUGAUAAUGUCAAAGACAGAGAAGCAAAAAUUACAUUUUUGAAUAAAGUUAUUUAUGUAAUCAGUAGAACUGUUGGUAAAGACUUGCACGUAAAGCCUUCAAAGAUAGUUGCUGGACAAGAACCUGAAAAAACAAAUGAGCUAUUGCAAUGCUUGGCAGAAGCUUUAGAUAAAAAACUUACAUCAAAAGAUGCUGUCAGAAAAUCUCGAGAAACCACUGACGACAAGAAAAAUGUUUCUAAAGGGAAAGAAAUAUCUAAGUCAAAAGAAAAUACAAAAAUCGAGAAAAGUGGUCAUACAUCUAAUAAACGGAUUAAAUUAAAAGAAAAUAAUAUCAAACAAAAACCAGACUCAUCCAAAAAUAUUUCACAACAAAUCUUAACCGACGCUAAAGAUGUCAAGGGAAAAAAACAUAAAGUUUUGCAUGACAAUAUCAAAGAGAAUAUCAAUGAAGAAGUUCCACGCAAUGAUAAUAAUUAUAAUAUUAAUCCUCUUAAAGAAACUCUGCCUUUAGCCGGAGCUAUACAAAAUGAUAAUAUAGAUACAAUCAGUGAUAAAAAUAGCAGCAAUGAUGGGCAAGAAAACGUUGAUAGAGAAUGCAUAGAAUUUCCAGAAUCUGAUACUUCUAUCUAUCCUAAGACCAAUAAAGAAAUUGAAUCAGUAGAGCAUGGCGUUAAUAGUACUAAUUAUGACCCUGUCAAUCCUGAAAAAAUUGAAGUUGAGAAAAUAUCAGAUCGAAGUUUUAAUGAAAAUUCAAAAACGGCAGAUUAUUCUGAUACAAAAUCCCAAGGAGAACCUGAAAAAUUUAAAAAUAUGGAAAUUUCUAAUGCCAGUAUAGAAAAUUAUAUUACCAGUAAUAGACCUUCUAGUGUCAGACCUUCGUCGUCCCGUCCAGGUGCACCUAAAGUGCGAGAUAAACAAGAUUACAGGACUCUACCCGAUGCUGAAAAUAUUGCGAUUGGUAAAGUUAAUAUUAUUUCAGAAAAUGUGCUGCUGGAAGAGGACGAAGAAUCUACAUUGGUUAUAGAAAAUUAUACUGAUGAUAUUAAAUCUCACCACGCGCAUGACUUAGACCAACACGGUCAUUUGGUUCAACAAAUUUUAGAUUCACAAAAAGAAUUUACCCAAGUUAAUAAAACUGAAAUUGACUGGACAAGUGGAUCACAGAAAACUAGAGAUGAUUUCAGUAGAGAGAUAGAACAAAUACGGUUUAAUGUUCAAGCACUGUCUCGUGUCGCAAAUCCAUUGGGGAAAAUUCUUGAUCAUAUUCAAGAAGACGUUGAAGUCAUGCGCCAAGAAUUGUCUCAGUGGUUGCAGAUUUAUAACGAAACAACAAAAAAGUUGUUAAAACAGAAAGCAUUAAAUGAGGAGAUAAUUGCGCCACUGCGCGUAAAGUCAACACAGUUGGAAAUGGACAUUUCAGAAAAAUAUAAAAAAAUUGACACUAUGAAAAUAAUUGUUUAUAAAAAUAAUACAAAAAUUGACAAGUUACUAGCGAAUGAGCAUAUUAAAUAAAGUAGUUAAAUAAUGAAAUAAAAAUAGUAGCAUUAUUAUAGCUAUUGAAAUUGUUGAUAAGUAUAUACACUUAAUACUUGAGGUAAACUUUAGGAUACCACACCAAAUCGUCAUUUAUUUUAGGGUAAUUUCAUAAAUCACUAUUUUAAUAAUAAUUAAUAUCUAAUGUAAGUUUAUUUUUUUAUAAAUGUUAAUUUUUUUAUUGUUAAAGACACCCAAUCUCGUUUUUUAAUAAGAGCUUUAAGAGUUUGUUUUCAGUAUCUUAUGAUAAAAUAUAUUAAAUACUUAUUAUUAUGUCGAGAUAACUUAUAUAUUCGUAUGAAGUAGGUGUGUUUCAAAAGACACAUAUUUCAUGCUUGAUUAACACGCAACUCCGCAAACGCCUGUAUUCCGUAUGCAUACAAAUUAACUAUGGAAUAUUUCGGCAAUACAUUGCGCAGAGGUGAUAAUAACUUGGAGAAACUGAUCGUGGUUGGUGACACAGAAUGCGAAAGAUCACGUGGCCGUUUACUUACCACAUAGAUCUAUCAGGAGAAAGACUCAUCGUAUUCAAAACUGUACACUGUAAUAAGAAAGGCGCUGGACAGGCAAACAGGUAGUUUGCUCCUGAUGUUUCCUUGCUGUCCACGAUGCUCAGACAUGAGCUACUGACUGAAGAGAGAGAAGAGAGUUAAUUUGAAUCUGUGUGAUAUUCUGAAUACCCUUUCAGGUGUAGUAGGAAAUAAACCUGAAUAUAAGCACCAGCAAUAAGGCAUUACCAGCCACCGAAGAAAUGUGAUAUGACGUCGAAGAAACCAAUUCCGAGAUUUCUAUUCCGAAACUAUACUUUUCUCUUCUCUAGACGCAUAAUCGAAAAUAUAUUUUGUGGUGCUCACUGUAUUCGAUUUUUGUAAUGUUACACACAAUACACAAUUCGAAAGUCUCUCGUAAAGGUUCGUUAGAACUUCUUUCUCUUCGGUACUCGACGACAUGACUGUAUACUAUAUAUAUGUACAUUGAUGUAUCUAUUUUACUGCAGUUUACCUUUAAUAUAAAUGUUAUAUCAAAUUUAAGUGGUGGGAAAUUUCUCGCAUGAAAAAUAGGAUUUCUCAACAAAAAGAGCUACGAUUAUUUCUGAUUCUUCUCUGACGAAUUUUGAAAAUGCCUAUUAGAGGGUAGCCUUAUACGUUAAUUAACUAUGAAACUUUUUUUUUAUAUUAUGGCUUUCUAUGAAACUUUUGGCCAUCAGAUUGUAGUUUUUAUUACAUAAUAUAUGCUUAGCUAUGCUGUGCACCGUGUGCAUUGAAAUUGUGGUCUGUGUGGUGUUGUUGUUGGUUUUUAGUUUUUACUCUAGUCUGAACUCUCUACUAAGUAAUAACUACUACUUCUGCCUUCAUCUGUGCUGUUGUUUUUCAUUACUGCUUUGCUAUCAACUUAUCAAGUAUAAUUCUUAUAUUAUUUAAAGACAUUUAUGUCCACACUUCUUUGAUAUGUGAUAAAUUUCUAAUUGCAUUAUUAUGAUUUAACUCUGAUUCUACUUCGUAUCUCGUUCAGAUCCUUUACCUAAAACAAUAUGCAAGAAUUGCUUGGAACGUUUAGAGAACCAACAUAGACUUGUCAUGCGUAUCGAACAAGCAGCAAAUAUGCUUAAAGGCCAGAGAAGGGCAAGAGUUAG
This is an RNA transcript of Pieris napi, 3636 nucleotides long. It is a transcript of the gene named TRAF3-interacting protein 1, with no coding region annotated. Lineage: Eukaryota; Metazoa; Arthropoda; Insecta; Lepidoptera; Pieridae. The record is from RefSeq and is a predicted model, not a curated record. The transcript has 7 exons.